GAUGAAGAACGUAGCGAAAUGCGAUAAGUAAUGUGAAUUGCAGAAUUCCGUGAAUCAUCGAAUCUUUGAACGCACAUUGCGCCCCCUGGCAUUCCGGGGGGCAUGCCUGUCCGAGCGUCAUUUCUGCCCUCAAGCACGGCUUGUGUGUUGGGUGUGGUCCCCCCGGGGACCUGCCCGAAAGGCAGCGGCGACGUCCGUCUGGUCCUCGAGCGUAUGGGGCUCCGUCACUCGCUCGGGAAGGACCUGCGGGGGUUGGUCACCACCAUGUUUUACCACGGUUGACCUCGGAUCAGGUAGGAGUUACCCGCUGGACUUAAGCAUAUCAAUAAGCGGAGGA
RNAcentral lists this unclassified non-coding RNA (337 nucleotides) under soil metagenome. Its description in RNAcentral is "partial contains 5.8S ribosomal RNA, internal transcribed spacer 2, and large subunit ribosomal RNA". The stretch from base 1 to 120 matches the Rfam family "5.8S ribosomal RNA", at positions 35 to 154 of the family's 154-position model. The record is from RNAcentral.